Molecule: long non-coding RNA, 787 nt
Organism: Humulus lupulus (European hop)
Lineage: Eukaryota; Viridiplantae; Streptophyta; Magnoliopsida; Rosales; Cannabaceae
Exons: 3
Source: RefSeq, a predicted model, not a curated record
UAGUUGAUUUUUUGGCAUUUCAGGAACUUGUUACUGCUUGGGUUGUCAUCUUGGCUUGCCUUGUCCAUGGGUUUGUUACAGUCUUAGUUGCUAGUGAAGCUCAUGCAAUAACUCUGGCUGUUGAGGGUUUGUUAGGAGUUGUGUUUACAGUGGCUGCAUUAACAGAUGAAGCAAUGGAUGUUGGUGAGGUACUUUGACCGCGAUGUUGAAUGUGUCUUCAAGUUCUUUAGAAAGAGGUUCAGAUCACUUCCAGGACUUGUCAACCAGACCCAAAGGGAUAUCAUAGAAUGUGAGAACUUUGUCUUCCAAAGAGUUUGUGGCUCUUUAACUAGUGAAAUAAGAAUUGAAAUUUCUUAUCAUUGAUACAUUCUGUCUCUAGAUGGAAACCAAUCAAACCACACUUGCAUAAAUGAGAUCAGUUGAAUGUGCUGUCAUUUCUCAGAUACUGUAUUGUGCAGUGACAUAAUAUAUCAAGUGACCGAUUACACACAUGCAUAGGCACACACUGACACGUAUACUUGGAUUGACUGAUAAAAACUAAUAAUUUCAUUACUUGCAACAUAGAAACCUAGAAUUAUAACUUUCAUACAUUUUUAAUUAAUACAAGGCAAUUUGAAACUUUUUUUUUUUUUUUAAAAGCCCUAGAAUUACCACUUUAAGUAAUUGUUGGUGUGAUUCCAUUAUUACACUCAAAUAUUACAGGUGUGUAGAUGUGACUGGAUCUUACAGUGCUUAAAAGACAGAGCUUAACAUAAGCUUGAUGGCAAUAGGCCUUUUGUGGACUACA